AUGGCCACCACAGUGGCUAUGGUGACAGAGGUGCCACCCACAAAUCCCCCUCUCUGGCCCCCACAGCACUGUCCCCAUCCUCCUCCUGUCCUUCUGUCAUGCUGUCCAUCCCCCUCCUGCCAUCCAUUCAUCCCUCUUCUUCCUUCCAUCUGCCUUUCCCGUCAUCCAUUUCCUCUGUCCAUUCUUCCUUUCAUCACUCCAUCCCUCUCCUAUGUCCAUCCAGCCUUUCUUACAUCCCUUCCUCUCUUUUAUGUCUUUUCAUCUCUCCAUACUUCCUCCUGUCUGGUCUGUUCUUCCCUCCAUCCCUUGGUCCCUCACUUUCCUGCUUUUUUUCAGCAUUUCCUUCUAUCCUUGGAUCCUUUUCUUAUUCUAUCCUAUCUUAUCCAAUCCAUCCAUCAUUUCUUCCUUUCAUUCUUGUCUUGUCAUUCCUUCUGUCUGUUCUCUUGUCCAUCCUUCCUUCCAUUCUUGAUCCCUCCUUCCUUCUGUCUUUCCUGUUCUUCUUGUCUCUUCUUCUUUACUCACUUCAAUCUGUCCUUAGAUCCAUCCUUCUUUCCCUCCCUCCUGCCAUCCAUUUUCCGUUCUGCCCAUCCAUCCUUCCAUUUGUCCCUCCCUUUCCAUCCGUCCUUCUGUCCAUCACUUUCCUUCUCCUGUUUGUCAUUCUCUCUGUCCUUCCAUCCUUCAUCCCUUUCCUGCUUCCACCUGUUCUUCUGCCUGCCCUUUCCUAGUUCCAUAACUCCCUUGGUUUCUCUCUUUCCUUCCUCCCUUUCCCUCAUUGCCUUCUCUUUGUCCAUCUGUCUCUUUCCUACUUCACUCCUUCCUUCCUUUCCUUUUGUCUGUCCAUCCCUUCAUCUCUCUCUUCCCUCCAGUCCAUCCUUCUCUCCAUCCCUGUCUCCUCACCUCCAACUCUGUCUUCCAGCCCUCCCUCUGUCCAGCCUUCCUUCUGCCCUUCCCUCUGUUUCCGUCCAUGAUCCCUUUCCCCAUUUCCCCUGGGGCACUGACCCCCACUUUGGUGGAGGAGGAUGGAUCACAGGGUCUCCCAUUGUUUUUCCUCUACCCCACCUCCCUCCUCCUCUGUGA
RNAcentral lists this long non-coding RNA (1077 nucleotides) under Cyanistes caeruleus (blue tit). RNAcentral's name for it is "lncRNA (ENSCCEG00000007043.1)". The record is from RNAcentral. Lineage: Eukaryota; Metazoa; Chordata; Aves; Passeriformes; Paridae.